GUGAAAUUGUUGAAAGGGAAGCGUUUGGCAUCAGCCCAUGGCGUCCAUUGAUCAUUCAGGCUUCUGUCUGAUGCACUUGAUGGAUGUCGGGCCAGCGUCGGCUUUGCCCGCCGGAGAAAGGCCUUGGGGAUGUGGCACCUCUCAGGGUGCGUUAUAACCCUUGGCGUCAUGCGGUGUGGUGGGGCCGAGGUCCGCGGUUUAUCCUAGGACGCUGGCGUAAUGGUUCCAAGCGACCCGUCUUGAAACACGGACCAAGGAGUCUAACAUCUAUGCGAGUGUUUGGGUGUAAAGCCCGUCCGCGCAAUGAAAGUGAAUGAAGGCGGGAGCCUUUAGAGGGUGCACCGCCGACCGGUCCAGGGGUUUACCGAAGGAUCUGAGUAAGAGCAUAGCUGUUGGGACCCGAAAGAUGGUGAACUAUGCCUGAAUAGGGUGAAGCCAGAGGAAACUCUGGUGGAGGCUCGAAGCGGUUCUGACGUGCAAAUCGAUCGUCCAAUUUGGGUAUAGGGGCGAAAGACUAAUCGAACCAUCUAGUAGCUGGUUCCUGCCGAAGUUUCCCU
This 557-nucleotide ribosomal RNA is filed under the name uncultured Ascomycota. RNAcentral describes it as "LSU rRNA". It matches the Rfam family "Eukaryotic large subunit ribosomal RNA", at positions 399 to 973 of the family's 3401-position model. Lineage: Eukaryota; Fungi; Ascomycota. The record is from RNAcentral.